UGUAAACUUUAUGUGGUUAUAUAAUUAAAACACAAACGAAGGAAUUUUAGCUGACCUGAUCAUGAAGCGAUAGCCAUUGGAGAUCAAACGGAGAAGAUGAAGGAUGCGGCAACACCAAAGUCUUCUACAAAGCACCUAGCCGGAUACAACUACUUUAUGGGAAGUGUUUGUUGUGUAUCUAGGGUUUGCAGGGACCUUAGUAUUUAUACUGGCUAAGGCAUUAAGGUUCCAUCCAUAAAGGAAUCCCAAAUCCCACUUUUUAGCCUAUCAGUUAGGUAUCAUAAUCACAUAAAAUCAAGGACUCCAUCAAUCUUACUUGUAUUACAAGACACCUAAUAUAAGAUUGAUAUCUUUAGGAAAUAAAUCACAAUAUCUACAUUAAUCUCCAAUAUUACAUUCCUAUUAUAUGUUGUAGACCAUUUAAGGUUGAUUUACAUCGGAAUAAAUCCAACAUUCUCCCACUGGUCUACACAUAUAGUAUUUAUGUUUAUACUUGAAAUUGGAGAUUAAUGUCACUUUAAUGGCCAUGUAAUUGUGAUAACAUCCUAUCCUUGAUACAAGUUUCUGUCAAAUAAGUCUUUCAACAUGGAACUAACAAGGUUGUAAGGUUGACACAACCAAAAACCUUCAUAAUCACACAUGCUAAAAUCCUCAUCCACAUGAAACACCAUCAAAUUAUGAUUGCAAAGAUGAACUUUAAUUACCUUAAUGUGUCUCAACUUUUAUCAUCUCAGGUCCUCUUUAAUGCAAACUUCUACUGCAGUUGCAAACAAAACUUCAUAAAACACAAUUAAUUCAACACCUACGAGCAAGAUGAAUUAACAUGUUUUUGACACUAGUUCAUAUACCAUAUUAGUUACUUUCGUGAGAAAAAAUUUUCAACACUUAUGAGCAAGAUGAAAAAACCCUCACAACUAAUACAACAUAUAAAUCAUGUCAUGCCAUUUUAAGUCGAACCAAAAGAAUUAAUCCACACCUACGAGCAAGAAGAUUAACCAUUCCUUUAUGACUUAAAAUGCAAUUUGCUUAACUGGAUAUCAGAUAUAUCAUCAUCUGAUAAUUGACCAACACAUAAACAUGUGACUUCAUGAAUCCAACCGGAGAUUAAACUAAAUGAAUGGAUUCAAUCAACCAUACAUACCUUAUAGGUCAUCUGCAAAUGUAAGGCAUCAAUUACAUGAAACUCAAGCUCCCACUGAUUUGCAACAUCGUCACUUAAUUUGCAAAUCACUACUUAAAUCAUACUUUUGAAAUAUGCUUGUGGGAACACCCUUACUUAGUCAAUGAAUGCAUAUCACUACAAAAUUGUCUUUCUUUAACCUUUCCUUAACACCUUAAAUAGCAUAAUCUCAAUGAAAGGUAAAACUAAGACAUUCACCGCUGUUUAUACAAAACCAUGCAUUUCACAACCAUCUAUUUGCAUUAAUAAUUCCAUAUUUGUGCUAAGUCCCCAUGAGCCUCAAAAUUCUUCUAAAGAUUAACAAAUAAUCAAUCAAGGCAUCCAAAUGAUUGCAAGUAAAAAUAUACACAUACACCAAGUACUCAUUCUGCAACUUAAACAUAUUAUUGUCAUUCGAGUCAUGGCAUAAUUCUAAUUUCAUCAACCAAAACACAUAUUCAUGGAAGAUAGAAUAACACUUUAUGCAAGUCCACUUAAUGCUCAAAACUUUAGAACAACUCCCACUAAACUUUUAGAGUUUAUACACUUAUUGCAAAUAAGUUAAUGAGUGUGAUGAUUGCAAGUAAAAAUAUACACAUACACCAAGUACUCAUUCUGCAACUUAAACAUAUUAUUGUCAUUCGAGUCAUGGCAUAAUUCUAAUUUCAUCAACCAAAACACAUAUUCAUGGAAGAUAGAAUAACACUUUAUGCAAGUCCACUUAAUGCUCAAAACUUUAGAACAACUCCCACUAAACUUUUAGAGUUUAUACACUUAUUGCAAAUAAGUUAAUGAGUGUGAAGCCCAAUUUUCUUUCACUAAUUCUCCCACUUGGGCAAACACUCAUUCAUAUAUUCUUUCAAGGAUUUACCUAAACAAAUUUGCUUCAUAUUUUAGACAUAAUUAAAUAGACAUCACAACCAACAUAAAGUUAUCAAACAGAAUUUCAGCAAUGAGUUACACUUACUUUAGAAUUUAUCAUAAUUAAUUUACAAGCUUAAUUGCUACCAAAAUUUUACAGAUCAAAAAAGACAUACUAUCAUAAAAUAAAAAUAUAGGGCCGUUUUAGGUCAAACUAAUUGUCUAAAGUGACGUCUCAAAAGACAAAAACAAUAUGCCAGCAAAACUGUCUGUACGAGCAUGGGUUACUAGUAAAUUCACCAUAAUUACACUACAUGGCAAAACUUUACGAAAAUUUGCAGACACAUAGUAGACAUAUAUAUGUUGAACAUAUCAAAAAUUCAGGUCGUUUGGUGAUCAUUAGACGUAUCAUUCACUCAAUUUAAAUCAAGACAUGCAAUCUGCCAGAAACAAUCAUGUGCAUCUAUCAUGAAUUGAUACAUCCAUAACAAUUCAAUUUCAUAUCAUUUCAAUUUUGAUGUCCAAGGGAAACUCUAGUAGUCAAAUUUCAUCAUCUAAAACGACAUCAUACUUCAAAUUGAAAAGAUUUACAAGCAUAAGACUUAAAUAAUGUGUACCUUAGCAAUCCUUGAUUAACCUUCAUGGGUCCAAUACUUUGCAUCAACAAGUCUCAUGAAUAGACACAAAAUAUGUUAUGAUGCAACCGAUUUCCAUGCCUUAAAACCACAACCUAUUAUGGGGCUCAUAGUGGGAUUUUGUAACUGAUGGCAUGGAACUUUAUCCCCAAUAAACUUCAUGAAACUAGAUUAAUUUACACCUACGGGCAAGAAAAUUAAUUAGUUUCUAGUACUGAAUUAUAUGUCACAAGAGUUACCUUCAUAAAAAACUUCAACACCUACGGGCAAGAUGAAGUUUUCACAAACUCCUGUGAAAUAAAACUCAUACUAUGCCAUCUUAAUUAAAACAAAGGAAACGAUCCACACCUACGGGCAAGAAGAUUAUCCCUUUUAUUCUAAUUAAGAUGCAACGUUGAUCAAAGUAACUUAAAACCAUAGUCCCAGCAUCAACUAAGCCGCUACGGCUUGCUUAGUUGACAAGACAUUAAUCAUCUCCAGCCUUCAUGACUCCUUUCGAUAUCCAAUUAAUCUCAAAAAACCUGACAACAUACUUGAAAGGAGAUUAAUCACAUAUAGAUCAAGUUGUAUAAGAGCUAUAAUAUCAAUCUUCCACCACAAGGAUAUCAACACGUAUGAGAAAACAUGAUGGAGCUAAUAGAUUCAAAAUGGAAACACUUUAAACAAUAUAGUCGCUUUUAAUUCAAAAGCCAAAUUGUGAUAUCACUUAAAUGCUCUCUUAAGUCAAACGAGUUCCUUUCCUUUUGUACCUUUAUUUCUGUAGUAAAAGACUCCUAAAACAUUAGCAUCAAAAUCGUGCAUUAGCCUUGUAAAUACCAAAUUAAGUAAAGGAACAACCAAAAAUUCUUUUCUUCCAAAAGAAAAAACUCCAAUACAUGCCAUACAUUAGCCUUGAAUAAUUUCUUUUCUUCUCCCCUUAUGGCACAUAAAAUUGACUUAUCAAAACAUUGUUUAAAUUCUUUAGGCAUGGGAAAAACUAAUAAACUAUAUACAAGUUUGAAGACUUAUGCUUAUCAAUUUAGUCACAUGCUCUGAAUGAAAUACAUACCUUAUGCCUUCAUAUGUUCACCACUUCUUUAUAAACAUAUUUAUAAUCACAUGACCAACCACAAUUCUCAAAUAAAUAGUUAAAAUACAAAUGAGAAUUGUCACAUAAUUACUACAAACCUUAUUCACUUGUAUUAUACCCUUAUUCUUGUCAUUGGAUGCUUUCUGUCAUUCUCAGUCAAUCCAUAAGUUAUGCAUUAGUCAUGUACAAUUAAAUGACUAUACUGAGAUAGGAAAGCAAAAUUGUAGACAAAACUAAUUUGAUUAGUCAUGCAAAUUCCGCAUGGAGUUAAUAUCAUUAUAAACCGUACUUGAAUUAAUCCCCCAUCAUGCUUAGUAUACUGCAUUACUAAUCAAACACAUUUGUGUUAGGACAACCCAAUCCCUUUAAUAAAACAUGCCAUAUGUCCAUUUUAGUUAUUACCCAUGAAAAACAGAGCAAUAGACUUACUCUUGUACUAAUGCCGAAACACCCAGACUAUUUGUACAAAAUAUAGUCUCAAACAAUAAAAUAAUUUAUGCAUUUUUACAUAUGCUUCUCCGCAUGUUUACCAUAUACAUACCAUUUAGAUACUGGUGUCAUGAUAAUUUUACACAUGCAAUGUGAACUUCUAGAUACAUAAUUGGCUUUAGAAAAUUACGUAUACUUAGCUUGAUCAAACAAUUGAUGGCACUUAUGCAAUUGCAAUUCAUGGCAAACAAUAUUAGUCCUUAUUCAAAUGGAUAACAAAUGCAAUAAAGAUUUGGAGUUUAAGAAGUAAUUCCAAAAAACCUUAUAAGGUAUGUAAUUAUAUUUUGAGGGGUGCUUAGUGUCCCCUUGUUGCCUUUCCACCCUGGAAGCAGUGACUGGAGCUGCUUGGACCAGCCAAUAGGCUCACUCAUGCAUAUUACUAACAAAAAAAACCACGAACAAGCAAGAUAUAUAUGCACUUUUAUAUGCAUGCAUCUUGGCAUAUCUUAAAAAUCUACUUUUCCCUCGUUCUGUAUGCCACUUAUAUGCAGAAUUAAUCAUGUUCAAAACAUAUAUUUUCUCUUUGUUUUGAUAACCAAGUUUAAAACUUAAUAGUCAAAACUAACCAUAUGCAUGAUCAACUAAUUAAUUCGCAAUUGACACAUAUAAUGAUCAAUAUUGUUUGCUUUGAUAGGAGACUUUACCGAGCUUGUUGACUUGAGAUGCUUCAUAGUCUUCCUUGGCAAGAUUAGUACAGAAGUACAUAUUUCUAUAUGCUUACAAAAUUGACAACAACGUUAGCCAAAAAGUUGUAUCUACCACUAAAUCAAUUCAACCAAAACAUUGGCAUGAAUAUCGAAAGAAAGCUUAAAGCAUGCCAUAUUCUUCCAGUCAUAAUUAAUUCAGUAAAGAUGAGCAAAGCAAACUGUUCCAAUCUUUCUUUAUGAGAACUGAAUACAAGAAAGGAAGCUUGAAGUGCUUGAAAACCUACCAUUCAACAAUUAUUAGUUUACCAAUUUAUGAGUGAUAUAUCUCAAAAUUCUCCAGUGCAAGGUUAGAACCGACCUCCAUCAGGAUCUCAUAUGCGAUGCAUAUAUGAACCUCCUUAUUUGGCUUUGCUGAUCAUCUCAAAUUCUCCGGUGCAUGGUUAGAACAAAAUGACUAUUUCAAUUGAACCAAAACAUUAAUAUGAACAUUGAAAUAGAAAACGUUAAGCACCAUGGUAAUUCCAAUUAUACAAUUCCAUGAAAUAAUGAACCAACUAUUUUAAUCUUCCUUUAUUAUAGUUAAUUCAAUAUCAUCAUUUAGUGCUUCAAUUAGAAAAGCCCACAUUUGGAAUUGAAGGGUGGUGGCGGUGGAAGAAAACUUGAACUCAACUGGCACCACUCGCAGAAACAGAUUAUCCAAUUAUGUAAUUGUUUAAUUUAACUGAUAAUUUCGGUCUCUAAGACCAAAUAGGAAUUUAUGUAAAACAUGUGCCGUGCAUAUCAGACUAAUAUGCCAAGUAUAUACAAUUAUAUGCGGAACCGUACUAUGCAGUUUUCAAGCAGGUCCAACAUGGUGAUGUUGCCGAAUGCAAUCACAAUUUGGAUUUAAAAAACCGCAGUCCAAAAGAAAAGAUAUUAUAUAAUCAAACUUCAAACCUAAUAGGUUUUAAUCAUAUAACCAGUGGCUCUGAUACCACAUGUAAACUUUAUGUGGUUAUAUAAUUAAAACACAAACGAAGGAAUUUUAGCUGACCUGAUCAUGAAGCGAUAGCCAUUGGAGAUCAAACGGAGAAGAUGAAGGAUGCGGCAACACCAAAGUCUUCUACAAAGCACCUAGCCGGAUACAACUACUUUAUGGGAAGUGUUUGUUGUGUAUCUAGGGUUUGCAGGGACCUUAGUAUUUAUACUGGCUAAGGCAUUAAGGUUCCAUCCAUAAAGGAAUCCCAAAUCCCACUUUUUAGCCUAUCAGUUAGGUAUCAUAAUCACAUAAAAUCAAGGACUCCAUCAAUCUUACUUGUAUUACAAGACACCUAAUAUAAGAUUGAUAUCUUUAGGAAAUAAAUCACAAUAUCUACAUUAAUCUCCAAUAUUACAUUCCUAUUAUAUGUUGUAGACCAUUUAAGGUUGAUUUACAUCGGAAUAAAUCCAACACAAUAUACUAACCCCCAGGUUUAUGAAAACAAAUAUAUAAUGAUGAACAUAGGUUUUCCGAAACCUAGCAUGAUGUGCAGUAUCUCAAAUCAUAACUCAUAUAUAAUAAUCACUAGUGAAUUGUCCGAUAACCUGCAGGCCCCAUGCCGGCUCCCCGUCUCUGAGCAGACAGUCAGAGGAAAAUACACUUCAGGCCCCAUGCCGGCUCCCCGUCCCUGUGCUAAAUAGCCAGAGGAAACACACUCCAGGCCCUAUGCCAACACCAAACCGUCGCCCGGGACGGACCGGAAUCUAUCCCUACGUCCCGUAGCGGAAAGGACCACUAGGUAAGUACAAAACCAUUGAACAUACAUAUAUUGAAAAACAACUUCAUAGUAUAAAGUCAUCCAUC
Molecule: long non-coding RNA, 6682 nt
Filed under: Malus domestica (apple)
Lineage: Eukaryota; Viridiplantae; Streptophyta; Magnoliopsida; Rosales; Rosaceae
Description: long non-coding RNA (MDOM_LNC001258)
Source: RNAcentral